UACGUAGGGGGCAAGCGUUGUUCGGAAUGACUGGGCGUAAAGGGUGCGUAGGCGGUGUAGCAAGUUAGAAGUGAAAUACCUAGAGCUUAACUCAGGUGCUGCUUCUAAAACUGCUAUACUUGAGUGCAGUAGAGGAAAGUGGAAUUCCUAGUGUGGCGGUGGAAUGCGUAGAUAUUAGGAGGAACAUCAGUGGCGAAGGCGACUUUCUGGACUGUAACUGACGCUGAGGCACGAAAGUGUGGGGAGCAAACAGG
Molecule: ribosomal RNA, 254 nt
Filed under: uncultured bacterium
Lineage: Bacteria
Description: partial 16S ribosomal RNA
Rfam family: Bacterial small subunit ribosomal RNA
Source: RNAcentral